AGCUUUAAGUUUGAUUCUUGCUUAUGAUUUUUAUAUUAUGAUUAAAAAAUACAUGAAAAUUAUAGUGUUCCUUUAUAUUAAAAAUUAAAAAUUAAAUAUAAUAUAAAUCUCAGUAUUUAAUUUUAAAAAUUAAUUAAAAUUAGAAUUGGUAAUCAUUUUAAUCCUGACUAAAAUUUGUGCCAGCAGUCGCGGUUAUACUUAGAGGGUAAAUAAAUAUAAUUUGGUGUUAUAGUAAAUUAUUAGUUAAAUAAAAUUUAUUAUUUUUUUUAAAGGGUGAAAUCGGUAUUUAAUUAUAAUAAUAAAUUUAAAAAUAAAACAUUAACAAACUAUAAAUUUUAAUAUAUAAACUAGGAUUAGAU
Molecule: ribosomal RNA, 359 nt
Filed under: Paralithodes brevipes
Lineage: Eukaryota; Metazoa; Arthropoda; Malacostraca; Decapoda; Lithodidae
Description: partial 12S ribosomal RNA
Source: RNAcentral